AUACUAAACGUGCCGAAGUUCCUUCAAAGGAACACGGAGGAACCAUUACUGGGGUGAAUCCGCACAUGCGGUAGGGAUUUCCCUUAUCCCGAACCCGUCAGCUAACUUCGUAGGCAGAGAAAGGGAGUGGUU
This 132-nucleotide small RNA is filed under the name Thermosinus carboxydivorans. RNAcentral's name for it is "c-di-AMP sequence". It matches the Rfam family "c-di-AMP riboswitch aptamer (ydaO/yuaA leader)". From Rfam's summary of the family: This family represents a conserved RNA structure found upstream of the ydaO and yuaA genes in Bacillus subtilis and related genes in other bacteria. The ydaO/yuaA element is thought to act as a genetic "off" switch for the ydaO and yuaA genes in its native state. It is believed that the element may be triggered during osmotic shock leading to activation of ydaO, a predicted amino acid transporter gene, and members of the yuaA-yubG operon which code for KtrA and KtrB K+ transporters. RNAcentral also lists the same sequence under 1 other name. The record is from RNAcentral. Lineage: Bacteria; Bacillati; Bacillota; Negativicutes; Selenomonadales; Sporomusaceae.